This is a long non-coding RNA of Carya illinoinensis, 1252 nucleotides long. RefSeq lists it as uncharacterized. The record is from RefSeq and is a predicted model, not a curated record. NCBI's taxonomy places the organism in Eukaryota, Viridiplantae, Streptophyta, Magnoliopsida, Fagales, Juglandaceae. The transcript is spliced from 2 exons.
GGUUUAUUUAAGAAAGCUUCGGUGGGCCACAUUGAAGUAGCUGGACAAAGAGAGGGGAUAGGCUUACCUUCAUGGGCCGAGAGAGAGCUUGAGGACGUUGAAAGCCCAGGUCUUUUCCUUUGUGCAUCUUGCUCUUUAAUUGCCAUUUAUAGUUUCCACCAUUGAGCUUUCCAGGGGGGUAUAUUAUUUCGUAGCUGCAUGCCUCCUUGAAGAGUAGUUAUAUUGAGGAGUUAAUGAAGCCACUUUCUCUGAGAUCUUGCCAUCAGCUGUCUUGUUAACAGAUAUACUCCUUUCUACCUGCUUUGGAUUUUCUGAGGAGUAGUUAGACUGCACAGUGAUCACUUUUAAGUCAGUGGGUGAAGCAAUUAAUGGAGGUUGUGCACUGUAGCAAAACAGAGGUGUUGAUCGGCGGAAUAGAAUUUUCUGGGAUGAGUUUGUGGAUUUCUCCUAAGUCGCUUCCACAGUUGGAAAGAAUUGGUGUAAUUCUGGUGGUUGGAUUUUCUGUUUUCCAUCCCAUAACAAGUAGCUUCUCUUGGGUUUGAAAAAGGUAGCGUCUAGCGCAUUUGUUUUUGACGUCCUUUGGAGAAUAGAAAGACAUUGCAACAAAAGGGCUUUCUUGGAAAGUCUCAACAAAAAUGCAAAACAUAUGUGGGUUGUCCUAGGUGAGAGAAAUGAGCAGUAGAGCACGUUGGAGGCGUGAAGUUAGGACUGAGCAGGGACCACGUUCGCGUAAUGGUGUAGGAGUUGGAACUGGAUCAAUCUCACCUCAAGCCACAGCAAAUGAGGAUGAGUUGGCUGGGAUAAAAAAAAUGCUGGAGGCGUGAAUCGUUGCUGAACACGUGAAGGUUGAAGUAAAGGACUGAGGGCAUAUAAAAAGGAAAUCUCGCACGCGGCAGGCUUUUUCUUCCUUUUUUUUUUCAUGGUUUUAUUUUUUUUUGGGAGUUUUACGUUUCUUGCUUUCCAGACUGGAGGGAUUCGGAGACUUGGUUUAUUUUCUUUCUGCAGUUUAGUUUUACUUGUUAGGCGACUGUUUUUAUUUAUUUUUUUCUUUGACUGUUUCUUUUUUUUUUUUCAUUUUUCGUUGAGGAGAACUUGGUUUUGAUAUUUUUUUUCUCCGUUUUUCUUUUCCGAAACUUAGUAGACGGAUGGGAGUUUUAUCUCUCUAGUUUUUAGUUUUAGAUUUUUUUUUCUUUCUUUGUUUCGUUGAGACGGUAUCUUUAUUUUUCCUUAGUCUUAUUCGUUUGGAUGGCUC